This 237-nucleotide long non-coding RNA is filed under the name Solanum tuberosum (potato). RNAcentral's name for it is "long non-coding RNA (STUB_LNC003645)". The record is from RNAcentral. Lineage: Eukaryota; Viridiplantae; Streptophyta; Magnoliopsida; Solanales; Solanaceae.
AAAAUUGCAGAUGUGGAAGAUUUUAAUAUGAUGAAGAGUUGCGGAACAUAUUUGAAUACAUAUUCUAGAGGAUUAGUUAUAUUAGUUCCAAUAUUAUAAGUUUAUUUUUAUGUUGUGACAUUUCUUGUGGAUUAGUACUUUGUAUAGAUUUAAUGAGAUAUAUUUUGUUUUAUAAAUUAAAGUAAUAUGUUAACAUUUGCAGAAUUUGUUGCUUUACUAACAUUAUUUGUAGCAGCC